This 429-nucleotide ribosomal RNA is filed under the name uncultured bacterium. RNAcentral describes it as "bacterial SSU rRNA". It matches the Rfam family "Bacterial small subunit ribosomal RNA", at positions 354 to 797 of the family's 1533-position model. The record is from RNAcentral.
GUGGGGAAUAUUGCGCAAUGGGGGCAACCCUGACGCAGCAACGCCGCGUGAUUGAUGAAGGUCUUCGGAUUGUAAAAAUCUUUAAUCAGGGACGAAACAAAUGACGGUACCUGAAGAAUAAGCUCCGGCUAACUACGUGCCAGCAGCCGCGGUAAUACGUAGGGAGCAAGCGUUAUCCGGAUUUACUGGGUGUAAAGGGCGUGUAGGCGGGCUUGUAAGUUGGAAGUGAAAUCUCGGGGCUUAACCCCGAAACUGCUUUCAAAACUGCGAGUCUUGAGUGAUGGAGAGGCAGGCGGAAUUCCCAGUGUAGCGGUGAAAUGCGUAGAUAUUGGGAGGAACACCAGUGGCGAAGGCGGCCUGCUGGACAUUAACUGACGCUGAGGCGCGAAAGCGUGGGGAGCAAACAGGAUUAGAAACCCCAGUAGUCCU